GUCAGGAUGGCCGAGUGGUCUAAGGCGCCAGACUCAAGGCUUAUAACCUUACCUGCCAGUUGGGUGUUCUGGUCCACGAAAGUGGGCGUGGGUUCAAAUCCCACUUCUGACA
Biomphalaria glabrata is the source of this 112-nucleotide non-coding RNA. The record is from Rfam. NCBI's taxonomy places the organism in Eukaryota, Metazoa, Mollusca, Gastropoda, Planorbidae.